RNAcentral lists this ribosomal RNA (455 nucleotides) under uncultured bacterium. RNAcentral describes it as "bacterial SSU rRNA". It matches the Rfam family "Bacterial small subunit ribosomal RNA", at positions 329 to 793 of the family's 1533-position model. The record is from RNAcentral.
UGCCAGACUCCUACGGGAGGCAGCAGUGGGGAAUCUUGCGCAAUGGGCGGAAGCCUGACGCAGCGACGCCGCGUGCGGGACGAAGGCCUUCGGGUCGUAAACCGCUUUCAGCAGGGACGAGGCCCUCACGGUGACGGUACCUGCAGAAGAAGCCCCGGCUAACUACGUGCCAGCAGCCGCGGUAAUACGGAGGAUGCGAGCGUUAUCCGGAUUCAUUGGGUUUAAAGGGUGCGCAGGCGGGCCUUUAAGCGGGGGGUGAACCCGGGGGGCUCACCCCCGCCGAGCCGUCGGAACUGGGGGCCUUGAGUGCGGCGGAGGCAUGCGGAAUGCGCGGUGUAGCGGUGAAAUGCAUAGAUAUCGCGCAGAACCCCGAUUGCGAAGGCAGCGUGCCGUGCCGCCACUGACGCUGAGGCACGAAAGCGCGGGGAUCGAACAGGAUUAGAUACCCUCGUACG